Molecule: ribosomal RNA, 492 nt
Filed under: uncultured bacterium
Lineage: Bacteria
Description: partial 16S ribosomal RNA
Rfam family: Bacterial small subunit ribosomal RNA
Source: RNAcentral
AGUGAACGCUGGCGGUAGGCCUAACACAUGCAAGUCGAACGGCAGCACAGUAAGAGCUUGCUCUUACGGGUGGCGAGUGGCGGACGGGUGAGGAAUACAUCGGAAUCUACUUUUUCGUGGGGGAUAACGUAGGGAAACUUACGCUAAUACCGCAUACGACCUACGGGUGAAAGCAGGGGAUCUUCGGACCUUGCGCGAUUGAAUGAGCCGAUGUCGGAUUAGCUAGUUGGCGGGGUAAAGGCCCACCAAGGAGACGAUCCGUAGCUGGUCUGAGAGGAUGAACAGCCACACUGGAACUGAGACACGGUCCAGACUCCUACGGGAGGCAGCAGUGGGGAAUAUUGGACAAUGGGCGCAAGCCUGAUCCAGCCAUACCGCGUGGGUGAAGAAGGCCUUCGGGUUGUAAAGCCCUUUUGUUGGGAAAGAAAAGCAGCAGGUUAAUACCCCGCUGUUCUGACGGUACCCAAAGAAUAAGCACCGGCUAACUUCGUG